This 67-nucleotide transfer RNA is filed under the name Cyanoplax caverna. RNAcentral's name for it is "tRNA-Thr". It matches the Rfam family "tRNA". From Rfam's summary of the family: Transfer RNA (tRNA) molecules are approximately 80 nucleotides in length. Their secondary structure includes four short double-helical elements and three loops (D, anti-codon, and T loops). Lineage: Eukaryota; Metazoa; Mollusca; Polyplacophora; Chitonida; Tonicellidae. The record is from RNAcentral.
GCUAAAAAAGCUUUAUUAGAAGCGCUGGUCUUGUAAGCCAGAGAUGAAUUAUUAAUUUCUUUUAGUA